GAGUCAUCUAUCAGUACCGCGUUCGAGUAAAGCUCGGUGAGUUGUGCGGAGCUCUCUGGAGGCAGCAAGGGGAAGAAAUGACAACCAGAAGGAAACCGGAGGUGGAUGCAAGGGAUGCAUCGUUGUGGAACAGAAAAUUGGUUCUCCAAACAAACUGCUCCAAGUGAGUGGAUGGAUGGGGAGAUGUCUGACAUUAACAACAUGUAACUGCUUUCUGAAAACCCUGGGAUACCUGAAAGCCUUAAGAAGGAGUGCUGCUGCAGUUGCAAAGCGAUAGAAUGAAGUCAAUACCCAAAAUGAUGCUGCAGCCACAUCUGGAGUUUGCUUCAGGUGGAGUGCUUUAUCUCUCUGAAAGGGAACGUCGCACAUCUCGGGGUCGUCUUAAAGAGAAACAGAAGAUGCAGAGGAGUACAUCCGAGAAAAGCACUUUAUUCCCUCAGCACAGAUUGACUCCCCAGGUCCCACCUGGAGCAGAACUUUCCCUGCAGUUCCCCCAGCACAGCUCUGGUACAUCCGUGCAGGAUUGGACUUACUGAGGGGUUUGCCUUCAUUUCUCCUUCUGCCCACUUUGGGGUGCCCGCAUUACCUGCAGCCACACGUCCUGCAUUGCUGCCUUGCCUCUGUUGUACCGCAUUCUGCUGAAAAAUACAUAGAAUGAAAAUGAUUUCCCACUUGUAAGGGCAGAAUAAAUAGAAAUACUUGCAGAUAAUGAUGCAGUUUUUUCCUCAGUGUCACCGAAAAACUUAACUCGGUUUUGUUUUCUCAAUCAUCCCUCUGUGUUUGCACUUCUCUGUUAAACAGCAACUGAGAACAAACCGAGAAUAAAAGUGGAGAGCGUUUUUAUUACAAAGGAUUUCACCUUUCUGUCAUUUUUGUACUAAAACAGAUCUGAAACUGCCAUCCACCUCUUCAGUUCAAUUUUUGUUUCACUGCAUUGGAGAAACUUUUAUAUAGAAAAACAAGAGAUGGAUAACCUUUAUUUCUCUGCAUUUUCUGUGUGUCCUCUCCUAAAUGAGACCAAUCUACGCAUGGAAUGGGGAAUUACUUGUGGUCAGAAAUAAACAGCAAUGGCA
Molecule: long non-coding RNA, 1073 nt
Filed under: Gallus gallus (chicken)
Lineage: Eukaryota; Metazoa; Chordata; Aves; Galliformes; Phasianidae
Description: long non-coding RNA NONGGAT006642
Source: RNAcentral